GAUCCUGACUCAGGAUGAACGCUGGCGGCGUGCUUAACACAUGCAAGUCGAACGAAGCACUUUGCUUGAUUUCCUUCGGGGAUGAUUGUUCUGUGACUGAGUGGCGGGCGGGUGAGUAACGCGUGGAUAACCUGCCUCACACAGGGGGAUAACAGUUGGAAACGACUGCUAAUACCGCAUAAGCGCACAGCACCGCAUGGUGCAGUGUGAAAAACUCCGGU
This 221-nucleotide ribosomal RNA is filed under the name uncultured bacterium. RNAcentral describes it as "partial 16S ribosomal RNA". It matches the Rfam family "Bacterial small subunit ribosomal RNA", at positions 15 to 216 of the family's 1533-position model. The record is from RNAcentral.